UUGAUGAGUGAUGACCACUGGUGGCGUGUGAGUUGUGGAUGAUGGAUACAUGUCUGGAACUCUGAGGUCCAA
This is a small nucleolar RNA of Heterocephalus glaber (naked mole-rat), 72 nucleotides long. Ensembl annotates it as small nucleolar RNA, C/D box 114-27. The record is from Ensembl. Lineage: Eukaryota; Metazoa; Chordata; Mammalia; Rodentia; Bathyergidae.